RNAcentral lists this ribosomal RNA (252 nucleotides) under uncultured bacterium. RNAcentral's name for it is "partial 16S ribosomal RNA". It matches the Rfam family "Bacterial small subunit ribosomal RNA", at positions 524 to 776 of the family's 1533-position model. The record is from RNAcentral.
UACGUAGGGUGCAAGCGUUGUCCGGAAUUAUUGGGCGUAAAGAGCUCGUAGGCGGUCUGUCGCGUCGGAUGUGAAAAUCCAGGGCUCAACCCUGGACCUGCAUUCGAUACGGGCAGACUAGAGUUCGGUAGGGGAGACUGGAAUUCCUGGUGUAGCGGUGAAAUGCGCAGAUAUCAGGAGGAACACCGGUGGCGAAGGCGGGUCUCUGGGCCGAAACUGACGCUGAGGAGCGAAAGCGUGGGAGCGAACAGG